RNAcentral lists this ribosomal RNA (490 nucleotides) under uncultured bacterium. RNAcentral's name for it is "partial 16S ribosomal RNA". It matches the Rfam family "Bacterial small subunit ribosomal RNA", at positions 29 to 507 of the family's 1533-position model. The record is from RNAcentral.
AAUGAACGCUGGCGGCAUGCCUUACACAUGCAAGUCGAACGGCAGCAUGACCUAGCUUGCUAGGUUGAUGGCGAGUGGCGAACGGGUGAGUAAUGCAUCGGAACGUGCCUUUUAGUGGGGGAUAACGUAGCGAAAGUUACGCUAAUACCGCAUAUUCUCUGAGGAGGAAAGCAGGGGACCUUCGGGCCUUGCGCUAGAGGAGCGGCCGAUGUCGGAUUAGCUAGUUGGUGAGGUAAAGGCUCACCAAGGCAACGAUCCGUAGCGGGUCUGAGAGGAUGAUCCGCCAGCCUGGGACUGAGACACGGCCCAGACUCCUACGGGAGGCAGCAGUGGGGAAUUUUGGACAAUGGGCGCAGGCCUGAUCCAGCCAUGCCGCGUGAGUGAAGAAGGCCUUCGGGUUGUAAAGCUCUUUCGGCUGGGAAGAAAUCGCACCCUCUAAUACAGGGUGUGGAUGACGGUACCAGCAUAAGAAGCACCGGCUAACUACGUG